CAGAACUUUCCCAGCCAGGGAUGGAACCCACCUCCCCUGCAGUGGCAAUGCAGAGUCUUAAUCACCAGGAAGCUCCUUGCUUUUCAUUUUACUUAAUAUAUGCUGUCUUCAUUGACUGGACCCCCUUAAUUCAUGUAAUAAUCUUGGUGCUGGAAAUUGCACUACUCAGAGUUCUUGAGAAGCGACAGAAUGGUAUUCGUAAGUGAGGCAGAAAGUUAAUCUGCCUGAAGGAAAGAAGGUCAUAGAACCAUACCCUGGAGGACACCAGAACCUGUUCUGGAACCAGACCUAAAAAUCUCAGUGUCUCCAGAAGGAAAGAAGAAUGCAAGACUAUUUCAGCCCUAUCUACAGGCUUAUUUCCCACCCUGACACUGUAAGACCACAAUUUUGAGGACCUUAGACUGGUGUGGCCCCUUUGCCUCACAAAGUAAUAAAGUUGCUCUGUUCUACUCCAAAGCUCUGUCUCCACAUUUCUAUUUGGCACCAGUGUAUAAGAUCCAGGUUUUCAGCUACCAAAACAUUGAUCUUACAUCUCUCUUCAUACCCUUGAGACCUUUGUUUACUUGUGUGGGAUUGGCUAUAGCAUUACCACAUUGUAUUGUGGCUAUUUUAUGUUCUCCUCACUAGCCAGUGACCUUGAAAAGUUUGUUCAACCUUACAAUUUUACAACUUUACAAAAUCCAAGCCAUGUGUUUAUUAUUAUAUUCCAUGUUGCCUCUGAAUAUAACUACAAUGUCAGUUUUCCUC
RNAcentral lists this long non-coding RNA (747 nucleotides) under Capra hircus (goat). Its description in RNAcentral is "lncRNA (ENSCHIG00000007400.1)". The record is from RNAcentral. Lineage: Eukaryota; Metazoa; Chordata; Mammalia; Artiodactyla; Bovidae.